RNAcentral lists this small RNA (427 nucleotides) under Pongo abelii (Sumatran orangutan). RNAcentral's name for it is "transcribed unitary pseudogene". The record is from RNAcentral. Lineage: Eukaryota; Metazoa; Chordata; Mammalia; Primates; Hominidae.
AGCAAGACAGGGACUGGGCAACACACCUGUGCCAAAGCCUACCAGAAGCCCAGCAUGUUCAAGGUGAUCCUGAGGGCUGUGGCAGACAAGAGGACCUGCAAGUAUGUGUCCCUGGCCACCCUGAAGAAGGCUGUUUCCACCACGGGCUACGACAUGGCCCAAAAUGCCUAUCAUUUCAAGCAUGUGCUCAAGGGGCUGGUGGACAAGGGCAUGCUCAGCAGGUGACCGGCAGGGUGGCCUCAGGCUCCUCCACCCUGGGCAAGAAGCAGGCCUCCAAGUCCAAGCUCAAGGUCAAGAGACAACGGCAGCAGAGGUGGCGCUCUGGGCAGCGCCCCUUUGGACAGCACAGGUCACUACUGGGCUCCAAACAGGGGCACAAGCGGCUUAUCAAGAGGGUUCGAAGGGUGGCCAAGUGCCACUGCAAUUA